Molecule: ribosomal RNA, 229 nt
Filed under: Staphylococcus aureus
Lineage: Bacteria; Bacillati; Bacillota; Bacilli; Caryophanales; Staphylococcaceae
Description: partial 16S ribosomal RNA
Rfam family: Bacterial small subunit ribosomal RNA
Source: RNAcentral
CGACUACAUGAAGCUGGAAUCGCUAGUAAUCGUAGAUCAGCAUGCUACGGUGAAUACGUUCCCGGGUCUUGUACACACCGCCCGUCACACCACGAGAGUUUGUAACACCCGAAGCCGGUGGAGUAACCUUUUAGGAGCUAGCCGUCGAAGGUGGGACAAAUGAUUGGGGUGAAGUCGUAACAAGGUAGCCGUAUCGGAAGGUGCGGCUGGAUCACCUCCUUUCUAAGGA